UACCUUAGCUGGCCUGCCCUUUCCUCAUCCCGCCCCUCCAGAAUUCUGCCAUUCUGAAGUCACUUGGACUUCUCCCUGGAGAUCUUUGACCAUACACGGUCUUCUCUUCUUCAAGCCAUGUUGAUCAAGAGUUGAUUUACAUCAAGGCAUCAGUGAAGCCUUCUAACCCACUUGCCUCUGAAGAUCUAUGUGGAUUGGUGUGUGCCUCAGUUGAAUAAAAUAGCAACCGACAGAUUGGACAUCAUUGAAAACCACGGAUUGAACCGGCAGGCUCGCUUCCUCCUGUCAGAAGAAGAACUGUCUCUUCGCUUUGAGCUAGACGCUUCGGUGUUUAGAAAAGUCUUCAAUGGCCAGGCAAGCUCAGGGGAAAACUACGUCAGCAAAGGCUGCCCAAAACCUAGCUAAAAGCAAUAGAAUACUCCAUUUCAGAGAGAA
This is a long non-coding RNA of Ornithorhynchus anatinus (platypus), 435 nucleotides long. RefSeq lists it as uncharacterized. The transcript has 3 exons. The record is from RefSeq and is a predicted model, not a curated record. NCBI's taxonomy places the organism in Eukaryota, Metazoa, Chordata, Mammalia, Monotremata, Ornithorhynchidae.